Molecule: transfer-messenger RNA, 391 nt
Filed under: Gammaproteobacteria (g-proteobacteria)
Lineage: Bacteria; Pseudomonadati; Pseudomonadota
Also listed under: 4 other names
Description: HIGHO2-12-38-15 sp001801745 Standard tmRNA
Rfam family: transfer-messenger RNA
About the family: Bacterial tmRNA, also known as 10Sa RNA or SsrA, is named for its dual tRNA and mRNA-like properties.
Source: RNAcentral
GGGGGCGACUUGGUUUCGACGCAGAUUGCGAAGCUCAAAGUGCAUGUCGAGGUUGUAGCAUGUCUCGUAAAAUAGGCUACACAUUAUAGUUGCAAAUGAUAGCGACUUUGCUGAUAUGGCUAUUGCUGCUUAAUUGAGUAGCGAUGCCAUGCCGAUUAAAACCCGGCAGGCACUCUAACUUUUUUGUGCUUAUGCAUUUAAGCUUAGAGUCAUUUACAUAAGACCGCGUUAACAAUAUGUUUGAGGUUGUUAAUGUUAAACUUUCUCAGACUCGUUUAUUGAAGUCCUGCCCGUUGGACGACGAUAAAUUAACUUUAAAGACGUGGCUACACAUGUAGAUCGGAGAGUAGAGGAUUUGCGGACGCGAGUUCAAUUCUCGCCGCCUCCACCA